RNAcentral lists this ribosomal RNA (253 nucleotides) under uncultured bacterium. RNAcentral's name for it is "partial 16S ribosomal RNA". It matches the Rfam family "Bacterial small subunit ribosomal RNA", at positions 524 to 776 of the family's 1533-position model. The record is from RNAcentral.
UACAGAGGGGGCGAGCGUUGUUCGGAAUUACUGGGCGUAAAGGGCGCGUAGGUGGCCUGUUAAGUCGAACGUGAAAUCCCCGGGCUCAACCCGGGAACUGCGUCCGAGACUGGCAGGCUCGAAUCCGGGAGAGGGAUGUGGAAUUCCAGGUGUAGCGGUGAAAUGCGUAGAUAUCUGGAGGAACACCGGUGGCGAAGGCGGCAUCCUGGACCGGUAUUGACGCUGAGGCGCGAAAGCCAGGGGAGCAAACGGG